GGGGCUAUAGUUUAAUUGGUAGAAUUUUUACAUGGCAUGUAAAGGAUUGCGGUUCGAUUCCGCAUAGCUCCA
RNAcentral lists this transfer RNA (72 nucleotides) under Wigglesworthia glossinidia endosymbiont of Glossina brevipalpis. RNAcentral describes it as "tRNA-Ala (GGC) (tRNA-Ala-GGC-1-1)". It matches the Rfam family "tRNA". From Rfam's summary of the family: Transfer RNA (tRNA) molecules are approximately 80 nucleotides in length. Their secondary structure includes four short double-helical elements and three loops (D, anti-codon, and T loops). Further hydrogen bonds mediate the characteristic L-shaped molecular structure. tRNAs have two regions of fundamental functional importance: the anti-codon, which is responsible for specific mRNA codon recognition, and the 3' end, to which the tRNAs corresponding amino acid is attached (by aminoacyl-tRNA synthetases). tRNAs cope with the degeneracy of the genetic code in two manners: having more than one tRNA (with a specific anti-codon) for a particular amino acid; and 'wobble' base-pairing, i.e. permitting non-standard base-pairing at the 3rd anti-codon position. Lineage: Bacteria; Pseudomonadati; Pseudomonadota; Gammaproteobacteria; Enterobacterales; Erwiniaceae. The record is from Rfam by way of RNAcentral.